This 446-nucleotide ribosomal RNA is filed under the name uncultured bacterium. Its description in RNAcentral is "partial 16S ribosomal RNA". It matches the Rfam family "Bacterial small subunit ribosomal RNA", at positions 338 to 795 of the family's 1533-position model. The record is from RNAcentral.
CCUACGGGGGGCAGCAGUCGAGAAUCAUUCACAAUGGGGGAAACCCUGAUGGGGCGACGCCGCGUGGGGGAAUGAAGGUCUGCGGAUUGUAAACCCCUGUCAUGUGGGAGCAAAUUAAAAAGAUAGUACCACAAGAGGAAGAGACGGCUAACUCUGUGCCAGCAGCCGCGGUAAUACAGAGGUCUCAAGCGUUGUUCGGAAUCACUGGGCGUAAAGCGUGCGUAGGCUGUUUCGUAAGUCGUGUGUGAAAGGCGCGGGCUCAACCCGCGGACGGCACAUGAUACUGCGAGACUAGAGUAAUGGAGGGGGAACCGGAAUUCUCGGUGUAGCCGUGAAAUGCGUAGAUAUCGAGAGGAACACUCGUGGCGAAGGCGGGUUCCUGGACAUUAACUGACGCUGAGGCACGAAGGCCAGGGGAGCGAAAAGGAUUAGAUACCCGAGUAGUC